UGGGCAGGUGGAUCCAACUUCCGGGCGUGCAGGGGAGGCGAGCGCACUGGGUACCGGAGUCCACUUUGCUUGGAUUUACUCCGGGAGGGAGUAGCGGGAAAACCGGAGAGCAGGCCUGAGCACAGCUCGGAGCUUCUGGCCGCCCAUUCUUUCUGAAUGACGGUGCUGCUUGUGAAGAUCUUAAAAUCAGAUGUUGGCAGAAGAUAGGAAACUCCUUGGUCAGAGACAAAAGACUUCAUCACUUAAUGGCACAGGUUGUCUUGAAAGUCUCUUGAUGAAAGCAGGAAAAUGAGUCGAGAGGUUUACUAAUAAAUGGAGAAUACAGAUUUGGAAAAGGCUCAUGCCUGUUACUCGAUUUCCGUGUCCAACAAGCUCAACUGGGAGUUAAACGCAAGUCUUGAACUCCUAAAUUCUAUCACAAAUCUAUGGAUAAAAAUUCAUUCUCUGUGUCCGUGGGCUGAUUCAACUCCAGAUCAACCAGUGAAAACUGACCUCUUAGAGAUGAUUCAAGAACAGCUGAAUGAGUCUGUAGCACAGCAGCCUUACAAACAGGGAGGCCUGAUUUUUGAGUUUGGCCUGGGGAUAGAAAGUCAAAAGCUGGCAGAAGACAGAUGCUUUGCAGAAGUGACAAAUUUCGUUUCCUGGAGAAAGUUGCUGACUGCAAUGUUCCAAUUGGAGCAGCUUAUCUGCCCCUCCAGAUGUUGAAAUAAUGACAGAUGCUCAGAGAAAGCUUGACAAGAGGAAGAAAAGAGCCUGCUGAAGAGUCCAACCUGUUUGUAUGUGGGAGAAUAAAAGUAACACUUACUGAGAUCCGUA
Long non-coding RNA from Sus scrofa (pig), 816 nucleotides. RefSeq lists it as uncharacterized. The record is from RefSeq and is a predicted model, not a curated record. NCBI's taxonomy places the organism in Eukaryota, Metazoa, Chordata, Mammalia, Artiodactyla, Suidae.